UAGGACACCAGUUCUAACUCUAAAAUCCCCAGUUUCAACGAUAAAAAUGUUUCUAAGGCUCUGAUGCCGGACGCCCUGACUGCCCAGUUCUACCCCUACGUCCCGGCGCGGACCUACAGCGGCCAUCCAGGCUGGGGUGGGAUGGAGAACUUUCCAUCCUACUGACGCCAGGCGCCGAGCAGCUCCAGCCGCCGGGACGGGGCUGAGCACCUGCUGAAUGCCCCAGGCCUUGUUCUAGCAAGGGACGCCAAAAUUGUUUAAUUAUCACUCUUUUCUACCAUAUCACUGGGUCUUCACAUCACCUGGCAAGAUAAACAAGCAUUACCCAUCUACAAACCAACAAACAGCACCAACGAAGUAACAAUGAAAUCUCCUCUGAGUGUGGGGCGGAAAGGAGUGAUGAGGGUGGAAGGAUAGAAAAGCUAUGGGGGCCGGGGGGCGCUCAGUUGGUUAAGUCUGCCUCCCGCUCAGGUCAUGAUCGUGGGGUCCUGGAAUAGAGCCCCACAACGGGCUCCCUGCUCAGCAGGGUGUCUGCUACUCCCUUUCG
Long non-coding RNA from Lutra lutra (Eurasian river otter), 547 nucleotides. RefSeq lists it as uncharacterized. The transcript is spliced from 4 exons. The record is from RefSeq and is a predicted model, not a curated record. Lineage: Eukaryota; Metazoa; Chordata; Mammalia; Carnivora; Mustelidae.